AGAAGAAAAUCUGCCUUUUGGGAGAGUUUCUUCCUACUUGAUAAGUUUGGUGAAGGUCCUUGGGUUGAGUGCUAGGCCAAGAAGUGUAGACUUCCCUGCCUCCCACUUCUGUUAACUCCAAGUCUUCAGAAUUCUGAAUGGAAUGAAAUAGCACCUAGAGAAGGAUCAGCCUUGAAAUUAUACAGCCUUUGUGGGAUCUCCCAGGAACACAGCAGCUUCUCCUUACUGUAUCCUGUCAUCUGAGACAACACCAGCCUUUCCUUGAGGUGAUGCCCUGUCAGCACAUCUCCAAAGCCCAUAUUUUAACUUGGAUUAAGCAGAGAUUUCACUGCAGCUUUGGCGAUGAUAUCGUGCUCAGAGGAGAAGAGAGGCAGGCAGGCAGAUGCCACCCCAUGUUCAGAACUGUAGGAUGACCCUGUAUCUACACUGCUGGGGGCAGCCAGAGACACGUAUUACGAAUACUCCUUUUUCCCUGCUCCACGCGUCCUGGCACCGCGUCCCUCACCUAUGAAGAUUAGUCUUCAGAAAGCCCAACCGAUUAAUCAUAUAAUCCUUAGGUUUUCUACAAAGCUUUCUGUGUCCCAAUAGUAUUGAUUCAUAGCAUGGAGUGAAAGAGGUUUUUAGGAACAAAGUGGCAGGUGGUAGAUUCAGCCUCAACACACCAUCUCCCUUCAGGGAAAGUGACUCUUACAAACAACAGAUGGAUGGUACAAUGGCUAAAGGCUGGGAACUCAAGCUGCAUUAUUAUCUAAAAGGGUUUUUGUUUUAAUUUAAUAGCAGUAUGAUAGG
This is a long non-coding RNA of Nothoprocta perdicaria, 789 nucleotides long. RefSeq lists it as uncharacterized. The transcript is spliced from 2 exons. Lineage: Eukaryota; Metazoa; Chordata; Aves; Tinamiformes; Tinamidae. The record is from RefSeq and is a predicted model, not a curated record.